UGGGGAAUAUUGCACAAUGGGCGCAAGCCUGAUGCAGCAACGCCGCGUGAACGAUGAAGGUCUUCGGAUCGUAAAGUUCUGUUGCAGGGGAAGAUAAUGACGGUACCCUGUGAGGAAGCCCCGGCUAACUACGUGCCAGCAGCCGCGGUAAUACGUAGGGGGCUAGCGUUAUCCGGAUUUACUGGGCGUAAAGGGUGCGUAGGUGGUCUUUCAAGUCGGUGGUUAAAGGCUACGGCUCAACCGUAGUUAGCCUCCGAAACUGGAAGACUUGAGUGCAGGAGAGGAAAGUGGAAUUCCCAGUGUAGCGGGGAAAUGCGUAGAUAUUGGGAGGAACACCAGUAGCGAAGGCGGCUUUCUGGACUGCAACUGACCCUGAGGCACGAAAGCGUGGGUAGCAAACAGG
RNAcentral lists this ribosomal RNA (403 nucleotides) under Verrucomicrobiota bacterium. RNAcentral describes it as "Verrucomicrobia bacterium partial 16S ribosomal RNA". It matches the Rfam family "Bacterial small subunit ribosomal RNA", at positions 355 to 776 of the family's 1533-position model. Lineage: Bacteria; Pseudomonadati; Verrucomicrobiota. The record is from RNAcentral.